This 720-nucleotide ribosomal RNA is filed under the name alpha proteobacterium GM65. RNAcentral's name for it is "bacterial SSU rRNA". It matches the Rfam family "Bacterial small subunit ribosomal RNA", at positions 82 to 838 of the family's 1533-position model. The record is from RNAcentral. Lineage: Bacteria; Pseudomonadati; Pseudomonadota; Alphaproteobacteria. RNAcentral also lists the same sequence under 1 other name.
CACCUUCGGGUGAGCGGCGGACGGGUUAGUAACGCGUGGGAACAUACCCUUUUCUACGGAAUAGCCUCGGGAAACUGAGAGUAAUACCGUAUAAGCCCUUCGGGGGAAAGAUUUAUCGGGAAAGGAUUGGCCCGCGUUAGAUUAGAUAGUUGGUGGGGUAAUGGCCUACCAAGUCUACGAUCUAUAGCUGGUUUUAGAGGAUGAUCAGCAACACUGGGACUGAGACACGGCCCAGACUCCUACGGGAGGCAGCAGUGGGGAAUCUUAGACAAUGGGCGCAAGCCUGAUCUAGCCAUGCCGCGUGUGUGAUGAAGGUCUUAGGAUCGUAAAGCACUUUCGCCAGGGAUGAUAAUGACAGUACCUGGUAAAGAAACCCCGGCUAACUCCGUGCCAGCAGCCGCGGUAAUACGGAGGGGGUUAGCGUUGUUCGGAAUUACUGGGCGUAAAGCGUACGUAGGCGGAUUGGAAAGUUGGGGGUGAAAUCCCAGGGCUCAACCCUGGAACUGCCUCCAAAACUAUCAGUCUAGAGUUCGAGAGAGGUGAGUGGAAUUCCAAGUGUAGAGGUGAAAUUCGUAGAUAUUUGGAGGAACACCAGUGGCGAAGGCGGCUCACUGGCUCGAUACUGACGCUGAGGUACGAAAGUGUGGGGAGCAAACAGGAUUAGAUACCCUGGUAGUCCACACCGUAAACGAUGAAUGCCAGUCGUCGGGCAGUAUACUG